RNAcentral lists this long non-coding RNA (1916 nucleotides) under Homo sapiens (human). Its description in RNAcentral is "HSALNT0181846". Lineage: Eukaryota; Metazoa; Chordata; Mammalia; Primates; Hominidae. The record is from RNAcentral.
AGAGGGCGGGAGAGAGGAAAGGAAGGAGGGCAUUGGGAGCUGAGGCCCCACCUUUCAUUUCAGAAAAGUGCACAGGCAGAGCGGGCUGAGUCACAGGCACAGGUGAGGAACUCAACUCAAACUCCUCUCUCUGGGAAAACGCGGUGCUUGCUCCUCCCGGAGUGGCCUUGGCAGGGUGUUGGAGCCCUCGGUCUGCCCCGUCCGGUCUCUGGGGCCAAGGCUGGGUUUCCCUCAUGUAUGGCAAGAGCUCUACUCGUGCGGUGCUUCUUCUCCUUGGCAUACAGCUCACAGCUCUUUGGCCUAUAGCAGCUGUGGAAAUUUAUACCUCCCGGGUGCUGGAGGCUGUUAAUGGGACAGAUGCUCGGUUAAAAUGCACUUUCUCCAGCUUUGCCCCUGUGGGUGAUGCUCUAACAGUGACCUGGAAUUUUCGUCCUCUAGACGGGGGACCUGAGCAGUUUGUAAGUAGAUUAUCAUCAUUUUCCAGGGUACUCUUGUUUAGGGAAAUAAUAAGCCAGUCCAUUUCUCCUUUCCCUUCCAGUAUUUUUCUUAGCAGCAAGCACAAGGUUAAGCUCGGAAACAAUUCUUGGGACAGAGACUGAGAGGCCGUUGAAGGGGAAAGCAAGUGACAGAGCUGCAGACAGGACAGUUGGGUUUGCUGGUGUUUCACUUCCGCUCCCACCAUCUUGGCCUCCUUGCCUGGGUGCUGAGUAAGAAGACCUUUUGCCAUUUCCCCUCUCUAGGUAUUCUACUACCACAUAGAUCCCUUCCAACCCAUGAGUGGGCGGUUUAAGGACCGGGUGUCUUGGGAUGGGAAUCCUGAGCGGUACGAUGCCUCCAUCCUUCUCUGGAAACUGCAGUUCGACGACAAUGGGACAUACACCUGCCAGGUGAAGAACCCACCUGAUGUUGAUGGGGUGAUAGGGGAGAUCCGGCUCAGCGUCGUGCACACUGUACGCUUCUCUGAGAUCCACUUCCUGGCUCUGGCCAUUGGCUCUGCCUGUGCACUGAUGAUCAUAAUAGUAAUUGUAGUGGUCCUCUUCCAGCAUUACCGGAAAAAGCGAUGGGCCGAAAGAGCUCAUAAAGUGGUGGAGAUAAAAUCGUAAGGCUGGGCAGUUCUGGGAAAGUUCUAACACUCUUAUGGCGACUCUUGGUAUUUUGCAGUGGGCUAAAUAGUUGCUGAACAGAUGUUUUUCCCUUUAAGUAAAUCCUAUAUAAAAGAAUUCACAUUUGCAGGACAGAUAAAUCAGGUAUGAACUAGUAACUUUACAAAAGCUUUCUUAAUUUUACAAAAUAUUUCCUUAUGGGAUUUCUUUACUAUGUGGGGGGGUUGAUUUUACAAAAAUGUGCUAUGUAAAGCUUUUCUAAAAAAUCCCUUAUGUUUAAAGUGAAGCAUACAUUUGUAAAAACCACUGGGCUAGGCAGUCAGCAGGGCCACUAUGAGUCAGGGCUUAGGAAAGUCUGUUGUGCUGAUAGCAGGUGUUCAUUAAAUGUAUUUUAAAAUUGAGAUAAAAUUUACCCACCAUAAAAUUUACCUUUUUCAUUUUCACAAAGUUGUGCAGCAAUCAUCACUAAUUGCAGAACGUUUUUAAGCUCCCUCCCGUAAAGAAACCCCAUAUCCCUAGCUAUCACUCCCUAUUAUCCCCUCCUACCAGCCCCCGACAACUACUCAUCUACUUUCUGUCUCUAUGGAUUUGCUUAUUCUGGACAUUUCAUUUAAAUAGAAUCAUACAAUAUGUGGUCUUUUAUGCCCAGCUUCUUUCACUUAGCAUAAUGCUUUCAAGGCUCAUCCUUGUUGAUGUAUUAGUAUUUCUUUCCUUUUUAUGACUGCAUAAUAUUCCAUUGUAUGAAUAUACCACAUAUUGUUUGUCCAUUCAAUUGAUGGGCAUUUAGGUUUUUUCUGCUUGUUGGCUGUUGUG